CUUGUUUCGUGGUGUCUGUGUUUGACCCAUAUCUCAGGAUCUGACUGACAGCAGUAAGGGUCAGCAAUGCCAUGAGGAGAGGCUGUUCUACCUUUAAAGACAUCACCAACUUCAAGCUUCUGUGUACAGAAUCUGUCUGCAUUGACAAGAAAGGGGUCUGUAGCUGCAAAUGGAGUACCAAAGAAGAUGAAAACAAAUAAUUUGCGAGUGGCUUAAGGCUAAGGGAAAUAUUCUGCAAUGUUGGCAACAAUACCAAACAGUGAAAAAAAGAGUUUACCUUGGCAUCCCAGUUACAGUCAUCAGCCAAGGAAAGCAGCAGAGCAUAUGAGCAGCACAAGCACUGCAAGGGUUCAGCCCACAUGCAGAGAAUAAUAUGCGUUUUCAAAUUAGGAAGACUUGGACAGUCCUUUCUUGCUGACUAAAACUGG
This 428-nucleotide long non-coding RNA is filed under the name Chloebia gouldiae (Gouldian finch). RNAcentral describes it as "Erythrura gouldiae (Gouldian finch) lncRNA (ENSEGOG00005011115.1)". Lineage: Eukaryota; Metazoa; Chordata; Aves; Passeriformes; Passeridae. The record is from RNAcentral.